This 551-nucleotide ribosomal RNA is filed under the name Colletotrichum karsti. Its description in RNAcentral is "eukaryotic LSU rRNA". The stretch from base 183 to 336 matches the Rfam family "5.8S ribosomal RNA". Lineage: Eukaryota; Fungi; Ascomycota; Sordariomycetes; Glomerellales; Glomerellaceae. The record is from RNAcentral.
UACGCUCUAUACCCUUUGUGACAUACCUACAACUGUUGCUUCGGCGGGUAGGCCGUCCCCUGAAAAGGACGCCUCCCGGCCCGGACCGGACCCCCCGCGGGACCGGACCCGGCGCCCGCCGGAGGAUAACCAAACUCUAUUGUAACGACGUUUCUUCUGAGUGGCAUAAGCAAAAUAAUCAAAACUUUUAACAACGGAUCUCUUGGUUCUGGCAUCGAUGAAGAACGCAGCGAAAUGCGAUAAGUAAUGUGAAUUGCAGAAUUCAGUGAAUCAUCGAAUCUUUGAACGCACAUUGCGCCCGCCAGCAUUCUGGCGGGCAUGCCUGUUCGAGCGUCAUUUCAACCCUCAAGCUCUGCUUGGUGUUGGGGCUCUACGGUCGACGUAGGCCCUCAAAGGUAGUGGCGGACCCUCCCGGAGCCUCCUUUGCGUAGUAACAUUUCGUCUCGCACUGGGAUCCGGAGGGACUCUUGCCGUAAAACCCCCCAAUUUUCCAAAGGUUGACCUCGGAUCAGGUAGGAAUACCCGCUGAACUUAAGCAUAUCAAUAAGCGC